GAUGAACGCUGGCGGCGUGCCUAAUACAUGCAAGUCGAGCGAACAGAUAAGGAGCUUGCUCCUUUGACGUUAGCGGCGGACGGGUGAGUAACACGUGGAUAACCUACCUAUAAGUCUGGGAUAACUUCGGGAAACCGGAGCUAAUACCGGAUAACAUAUUGAACCGCAUGGUUCAAUAGAGAAAGGCGGCUUUGCUGUCUCUUCUAGAUGGAUCCGCGCCGUAUUAGCUAGUUGGUAAGGUAACGGCUUACCAAGGCAACGAUACGUAGCCGACCUGAGAGGGUGAUCGGCCACACUGGAACUGAGACACGGUCCAGACUCCUACGGGAGGCAGCAGUAGGGAAUCUUCCGCAAUGGGCGAAAGCCUGACGGAGCAACGCCGCGUGAGUGAUGAAGGUCUUCGGAUCGUAAAACUCUGUUAUCAGGGAAGAACAAAUGUGUAAGUAACUGUGGACAUCUUGACGGUACCUGAUCAGAAAGCCACGGCUAACUACGUG
This 497-nucleotide ribosomal RNA is filed under the name uncultured bacterium. RNAcentral describes it as "partial 16S ribosomal RNA". It matches the Rfam family "Bacterial small subunit ribosomal RNA", at positions 28 to 507 of the family's 1533-position model. The record is from RNAcentral.